RNAcentral lists this unclassified non-coding RNA (264 nucleotides) under Hevea brasiliensis (rubber tree). Lineage: Eukaryota; Viridiplantae; Streptophyta; Magnoliopsida; Malpighiales; Euphorbiaceae. The record is from RNAcentral.
UGCUGAAGUUGCUGCCAAAUCUGGGACUUAUCAGCAGAAGAAGAAUGAGAAAUCUGGUGCUCCAGCAACCCACAGAUCUCCUUCAAUCCCUCUUCCUGAGGUUGCCAAGAGGCACUCGCCGGUGCCGCCAUUUUAAUGCAAUUUCUGAGCUCUUAUAUGGAUACAGAUUUUGGUGGGCAUGUAGGAUUUGCCGCUGCUGCAGAGGCGAAGGAGAAGGAGACGAGUGCUGUCGUUUUAUUUUUAUUGUUUUUUUUUCCAGUGUCG